GAGGAUGGGGCCGUGGCCUAUCAGGUUGACGGUGAGGUAACGGCUCACCGUGCCUAUAACGGGUACGGGCCGUGAGAGCGGGAGCCCGGAGAUGGGCACUGAGACAAGGGCCCAGGCCCUACGGGGCGCAGCAGGCGCGAAGCCUCCGCAAUGCGCUAACGCGCGACGGGGUCACCCCGAGUGCCAGCCGCUGAGGCUGGCUUUUCCCCAGUGUAAAAAGCUGGGGGAAUAAGCGGGGGGCAAGUUCUGGUGUCAGCCGCCGCGGUAAUACCAGCUCCGCGAGUGGUCGGGGCGUUUAUUGGGCCUAAAGCGUCCGUAGCCGGCCCAGCAAGUUCCUCCUUAAAUCCCAUGGCUCAACCAUGGGGCUGGGAGGAAUACUGCUGGGCUAGGGGGCGGGAGAGGCCGAGGGUAUUCCCGGGGUAGGGGCGAAAUCCUAUAAUCCCGGGAAGACCACCAAUGGCGGAGGCACUCGGCCAGAACGCGCCCGACGGUGAGGGACGAAAGCCAGGGGAGCAAAAGGGAUUAGAGACCCCUGUAGUCCUGGCUGUAAACGAUGCGGGCUAGGUGUUGGCUGAGCUUCGUGCUCAGCCAGUGCCGCAGGGAAGCCGUUAAGCCCGCCGCCUGGGGAGUACGGCCGCAAGGCUGAAACUUAAAGGAAUUGGCGGGGGAGCACCACAAGGGGUGGAGGCUGCGGUUCAAUUGGAGUCAACGCCGGG
Molecule: ribosomal RNA, 716 nt
Filed under: uncultured archaeon
Lineage: Archaea
Description: bacterial SSU rRNA
Rfam family: Archaeal small subunit ribosomal RNA
Source: RNAcentral